This 69-nucleotide transfer RNA is filed under the name Myrmecophilus manni (Mann's ant cricket). Its description in RNAcentral is "tRNA-Gln". It matches the Rfam family "tRNA". Rfam says of the family: Transfer RNA (tRNA) molecules are approximately 80 nucleotides in length. Their secondary structure includes four short double-helical elements and three loops (D, anti-codon, and T loops). The record is from RNAcentral. Lineage: Eukaryota; Metazoa; Arthropoda; Insecta; Orthoptera; Myrmecophilidae.
UAUAUUUUAGUGUAAGGAGCAUAUGAACUUUUGAUGUUUAUGGUAACAGUUUAAUUCUGUUUAAUAUAA